AAAGGUAAGCUACUAAGAGCGAAUGGUGGAUGCCUUGACUGGUAAAGGCGAUGAAGGACGUACUAGACUGCGAUAAGCUACGGGGAGCUGUCAAGAAGCUUUGAUCCGUAGAUUUCCGAAUGGGGCAACCCAAUGUAUAGAGAUAUACAUUACCUAUAUAGGAGCGAACGAGGGGAAUUGAAACAUCUUAGUACCCUCAGGAAAAGAAAUCAAUAGAGAUUGCGUCAGUAGCGGCGAGCGAAAGCGCAAGAGGGCAAACCCAGUGCUUGCACUGGGGGUUGUAGGACUGCAAUGUGCAAGAGCUGAGUUUAGCAGAACAUUCUGGAAAGUAUAGCCAUAGAG
Molecule: ribosomal RNA, 342 nt
Filed under: Allotamlana fucoidanivorans
Lineage: Bacteria; Pseudomonadati; Bacteroidota; Flavobacteriia; Flavobacteriales; Flavobacteriaceae
Description: Tamlana sp. CW2-9 partial 23S ribosomal RNA
Rfam family: Bacterial large subunit ribosomal RNA
Source: RNAcentral